RNAcentral lists this ribosomal RNA (491 nucleotides) under uncultured bacterium. RNAcentral's name for it is "partial 16S ribosomal RNA". It matches the Rfam family "Bacterial small subunit ribosomal RNA", at positions 29 to 506 of the family's 1533-position model. The record is from RNAcentral.
AGUGUACGCUGGCGGUAGGCCUAACACAUGCAAGUCGAACGGCAGCACAGUAAGAGCUUGCUCUUACGGGUGGCGAGUGGCGGACGGGUGAGGAAUACAUCGGAAUCUACUUUUUCGUGGGGGAUAACGUAGGGAAACUUACGCUAAUACCGCAUACGACCUACGGGUGAAAGCAGGGGAUCUUCGGACCUUGCGCGAUUGAAUGAGCCGAUGUCGGAUUAGCUAGUUGGCGGGGUAAAGGCCCACCAAGGCGACGAUCCGUAGCUGGUCUGAGAGGAUGAUCAGCCACACUGGAACUGAGACACGGUCCAGACUCCUACGGGAGGCAGCAGUGGGGAAUAUUGGACAGUGGGCGCAAGCCUGAUCCAGCCAUACCGCGUGGGUGAAGAGGGCCUUCGGGUUGUAAAGCCCUUUUGUUGGGAAAGAAAAGCAGCAGGUUAAUACCCCGCUGUUCUGACGGUACCCAAAGAAUAAGCACCGGCUAACUUCGU